RNAcentral lists this ribosomal RNA (443 nucleotides) under Escherichia coli. RNAcentral describes it as "bacterial SSU rRNA". It matches the Rfam family "Bacterial small subunit ribosomal RNA", at positions 1 to 438 of the family's 1533-position model. The record is from RNAcentral. Lineage: Bacteria; Pseudomonadati; Pseudomonadota; Gammaproteobacteria; Enterobacterales; Enterobacteriaceae.
UUAAAUUGAAGAGUUUGAUCAUGGCUCAGAUUGAACGCUGGCGGCAGGCCUAACACAUGCAAGUCGAACGGUAACAGGAAGCAGCUUGCUGCUUCGCUGACGAGUGGCGGACGGGUGAGUAAUGUCUGGGAAACUGCCUGAUGGAGGGGGAUAACUACUGGAAACGGUAGCUAAUACCGCAUAACGUCGCAAGACCAAAGAGGGGGACCUUCGGGCCUCUUGCCAUCGGAUGUGCCCAGAUGGGAUUAGCUAGUAGGUGGGGUAACGGCUCACCUAGGCGACGAUCCCUAGCUGGUCUGAGAGGAUGACCAGCCACACUGGAACUGAGACACGGUCCAGACUCCUACGGGAGGCAGCAGUGGGGAAUAUUGCACAAUGGGCGCAAGCCUGAUGCAGCCAUGCCGCGUGUAUGAAGAAGGCCUUCGGGUUGUAAAGUACUUUCA